AAAAAAAAACAGAGAAAACGACGACGAGCCAGAUGUGAGAAGCAGGAGAACGUAACCGAGUGCCAUUCUGUCCAAGCAAAAAAAAAAGAAAAAAGAACCGAGAGCCAGAUGCAGAGGUGGCAGUGGUAUUGAGAUUCUGAGAGGACGAAGAAGGUGGUGUUGGUAGGGAUCGAGCAAGGAGACCAUCAGAGAUGGGAGAGGUGGUGGAAACCCUAGAGGGCCAUAGAAGGUCGGUGGCAGCUCCUCUCGUCUUCAUACUCGUCGUCGUUUUCCAAUUUGUUUCCAGGUGGCUGCAACAGUUGAAAAAGUUACUUGCUUCAACGAAUAUCGAUACGCAUUUAAGCAAUUAAUGGCCUUCAACAUUUGCACAAGCUGCAAAGCUAAGGAGGAUGGCAGCUGCUAAGGAGAAAGAACUUGCAAAUUGUACUAGUUGCUGCAACUCCACCCAUUCAAUUAUGUUUA
Prunus avium (sweet cherry) is the source of this 462-nucleotide non-coding RNA. NCBI's taxonomy places the organism in Eukaryota, Viridiplantae, Streptophyta, Magnoliopsida, Rosales, Rosaceae. The record is from RefSeq and is a predicted model, not a curated record.